UACGUAGGGUGCAGGCGUUAAUCGGAAUUACUGGGCGUAAAGCGUGCGCAGGCGGCUCCUUAAGUCAGAUGUGAAAUCCCCGGGCUUAACCUGGGAACUGCGUUUGAAACUGGGGAGCUAGAGUGUGGAAGAGGGGGGUGGAAUUCCAGGUGUAGCAGUGAAAUGCGUAGAGAUCUGGAGGAACACCGAUGGCGAAGGCAGCCCCCUGGGCUAACACUGACGCUCAUGCACGAAAGCGUGGGGAGCAAACAGG
RNAcentral lists this ribosomal RNA (253 nucleotides) under uncultured bacterium. Its description in RNAcentral is "partial 16S ribosomal RNA". It matches the Rfam family "Bacterial small subunit ribosomal RNA", at positions 524 to 776 of the family's 1533-position model. The record is from RNAcentral.